This is a non-coding RNA of Colius striatus (speckled mousebird), 461 nucleotides long. Lineage: Eukaryota; Metazoa; Chordata; Aves; Coliiformes; Coliidae. The record is from the annotation of a RefSeq genome assembly.
GGACACAGAGCUGGUGGGAUCACGCCAUGGCCUGGGCCCCUCUCCUCCUCGCGGUGCUCGCCCACAGCUCAGGUUCCCUGGUCCAGGCAGCAGUGACUCAGACGCCGCCCUCGCUGUCAGCCAACCCGGGAGACACCCUCCACAUCUCCUGCUCUGGGAUUAGCAGCAGCUAUGGUGUUGGCUGGUUCCAGCAGAAGGUGCCUGGCACUGCCCCUGUCACUGUCAUCUAUGCUAAUAGCAAGAGACCCUCGGACAUCCCUUCGCGAUUCUCCGGCUCCACAUCCGGCUCCACGGGCACGUUAACCAUCACUGGGGUCCAAGCCGAGGACGAGGCUGUCUAUUACUGUGGUAGCUACGAUGGCAGCACUGAUGCUGUUGUAGUGAUGCUGAGAGAUUUGCAAGUGAGUCUAAAGGAGUUAAAAAUAGAACUUUUCCAGCACUUCUUCCUCCUGGUCAAGUAG